This 22-nucleotide microRNA is filed under the name Homo sapiens (human). RNAcentral's name for it is "hsa-miR-3116". The record is from miRBase by way of RNAcentral. Lineage: Eukaryota; Metazoa; Chordata; Mammalia; Primates; Hominidae.
UGCCUGGAACAUAGUAGGGACU